This 253-nucleotide ribosomal RNA is filed under the name uncultured bacterium. Its description in RNAcentral is "partial 16S ribosomal RNA". It matches the Rfam family "Bacterial small subunit ribosomal RNA", at positions 524 to 776 of the family's 1533-position model. The record is from RNAcentral.
UACGGAGGGUGCAAGCGUUGUCCGGAUUUAUUGGGUUUAAAGGGUGCGUAGGUGGCCUUAUAAGUCAGCGGUGAAAGUCUGCAGCUUAACUGUAGAACUGCCAUUGAUACUGUAAGGCUUGAGUACUGAUGAGGUAGGCGGAACUGAUAGUGUAGCGGUGAAAUGCAUAGAUAUUAUCAAGAACACCGAUUGCGAAGGCAGCUUACUAAGGAGUUACUGACACUGAGGCACGAAAGCGUGGGGAUCAAACAGG